Pelobates cultripes (western spadefoot toad) is the source of this 265-nucleotide non-coding RNA. Lineage: Eukaryota; Metazoa; Chordata; Amphibia; Anura; Pelobatidae. The record is from the annotation of a GenBank genome assembly.
GUUACAUUGUGUUGUUUAAGUGUUCCCUUUAUUUUUUUGAGCAAUGUACAUUACAUACAUAGUAACUGGCUCCAUACCUCUCUAUAUUAUACCACCCUAAUCUAACAUCAAAUAUCGUUGUCAUUCCUGCUCAUAGGGUUGAUAUGGGAAGCAGUUUCAUGAACAUUCUAAGUAUACGUUCCUUAAUUAUACCAUGACUUCAUAUUAAACUGAGUGUUCAGUAUGAGUCACAUGCUUGGAACGAUGAGGUGAUCCUUGUUUCUGG